Molecule: unclassified non-coding RNA, 333 nt
Filed under: Hevea brasiliensis (rubber tree)
Lineage: Eukaryota; Viridiplantae; Streptophyta; Magnoliopsida; Malpighiales; Euphorbiaceae
Source: RNAcentral
AUUUUAUGAACAUAAUGAAGUUUUUUGUGAUGCUGGUGUCUGUAUUUUUGUUCCACUUUUUUUUUAAAUCUAGUUUCAAAUUAUGUUUCUUGUAUACAACAUAUUCAAAAUUAUGCUGACAAUUGCCUUAAAAAUACUCUUGUAUACACGGAUGCUCUUUCUUUUCCUCUAUGAUUGGUUCCUCAUUUCACAUUCUCUUUGAAAUUAACUUUGUUUAGCUUUUCAAUUUGGUUGCUUAAAUUUGAAUUUGCUCAAAUUAAAGAAAAUUGUCUCAUCAGACAAAUCUGAAAAACAAGAUCCAAAAUUUCCCUUGGAAAUAAAAGAAUAAAAGAG